Molecule: ribosomal RNA, 484 nt
Filed under: uncultured bacterium
Lineage: Bacteria
Description: partial 16S ribosomal RNA
Rfam family: Bacterial small subunit ribosomal RNA
Source: RNAcentral
AUUGAACGCUGGCGGCAGGCCUAACACAUGCAAGUCGAGCGGAUGAAGGGAGCUUGCUCCUGGAUUCAGCGGCGGACGGGGGAGUAAUGCCUAGGAAUCUGCCUGGUAGUGGGGGAUAACGUCCGGAAACGGGCGCUAAUACCGCAUACGUCCUGAGGGAGAAAGUGGGGGAUCUUCGGACCUCACGCUAUCAGAUGAGCCUAGGUCGGAUUAGCUAGUUGGUGGGGUAAAGGCCUACCAAGGCGACGAUCCGUAACUGGUCUGAGAGGAUGAUCAGUCACACUGGAACUGAGACACGGUCCAGACUCCUACGGGAGGCAGCAGUGGGGAAUAGUGGACAAUGGGCGAAAGCCUGAUCCAGCCAUGCCGCGUGUGUGAAGAAGGUCUUCCGAUUGUAAAGCACUUUAAGUUGGGAGGAAGGGCAGUAAGUUAAUACCUUGCUGUUUUGACGUUACCAACAGAAUAAGCACCGGCUAACUUCGUG